RNAcentral lists this long non-coding RNA (712 nucleotides) under Sorghum bicolor (sorghum). RNAcentral describes it as "long non-coding RNA (SBIC_LNC009605)". Lineage: Eukaryota; Viridiplantae; Streptophyta; Magnoliopsida; Poales; Poaceae. The record is from RNAcentral.
UUGUCGAAAACUAUGUUUGAAUUUCUCAAAUUUGAAAUUCAAAUUUUAUAAAUGACUUCGAAUGGAGAAACUACCAAAAGUUGUAGAUCCUGAAAAGUUAUGAAACUUUGUAGUUGAUAAUUUUUCUAUUUGAAUCCGUUUAGGGCCUCAAACAAUCAAUGCAUGCUCGAUUUAGAAUAAUAUGUGGGGAACUAAACUCUAAUAUAGACACAAUUGAGUGAUGGGUGGAGUGGUAGAGGAGGUUACAUGUGAGGGCAAGGUCUUGGGUUCAAAUUCUAUCAGCCAUGUAAUAGGAGAUUGGCUAGUGGGCCUCCCUUGAGAUUAAAAUCUUUUAUUUUCUAUUUUUAAAAACCGAUUUCAUAUUUUCUAAAAAAAUAUUUCCAAUGGUGGUUGGAUGGAAUGGUAGAGGAGGUUACAUGUGAGGGCAAGGUCUUGGGGCUAGUGGGCCUCCCUGAGAUUAAAUCUUUUAUUUCCUAUUUCUAAAAGCCGAUUUCAUAUUUUCUAGAAAAAUAUUUCCACUGGCGGUUGGCAUAGAUUUUCACAGGCGAUUCUUUUAGCCAACCGCUAGUGCAAAGAUUUAUUUUUACUGGCCCCUAACGCUGGCGGUUACAAUUGAACAAGAUUUAUCUCGAAAAGUUUGACGAUCAGUUUAGAGACCGAGAUGAUACAAUUGAACAAGUUUAAAGGUCUGAAACAGACAACCUAUGAUUUU